UUGUAUACAAAUUCACAAGACUGGAUAAUAUAAAAAUUGGAAAGAAGAUAUAAUUGCACUUCAUCUUGAGCUAUUUCUAUCUGUGGCAUUUUUUUCUUUUCAUAUUCUUUGCAUUUUAUUGCUUUCUCCGACUCUCUUCAUUGAAAAGUUCCGAAUCGAUUAAGAAAUAAUAUAAUUUGUGUGUAGGAGAGAGAAAUUUUUUUAAUUUAUGAAUGUUAUAUAUACAUAACGUAAUAACGCGAAUAACAAUAUGAAGAUAAGUGUUGACGGAUUGAUUGUAUAUUUUCCCUAUGAUUAUAUUUAUCCGGAGCAAUAUGCAUAUAUGCUUGAGCUCAAGCGUGGCUUGGAUGCCAAGGGACACUGUUUAUUGGAAAUGCCUUCAGGCACUGGCAAAACAAUAACACUGUUAUCACUCAUUGUAGCAUAUAUGUUGGAGCAUCCAUUGGAUGUUACAAAAUUGAUUUAUUGUUCUCGAACAGUGCCAGAGAUUGAGAAAGUUAUAGAGGAAUUGAAGAAACUUAUAGAUUACUAUGAGAAAGAAACCAAAAGCAAACCUAAGAUUGUUGGCUUAGUUCUUAGCUCUCGUAAAAAUAUGUGUAUUCAUCCUGAGGUCAGUAGAGAGCGAGAAGGUAAAAUUGUGGAUGGUCGUUGCCAUUCUCUUACUGCAUCAUAUGUACGAGAAAGGCAUAAUUAUGAUGAAUCUACACCAAUUUGUAGUUUUUACGAAGGAUUUGAUAUGGAAGGUAGAGAACAAAUUAUUCCUCCUGGUAUUUAUUCCAUUGAUGAUUUGAAAGAUUAUGGAAAAGAUCGUAAUUGGUGCCCAUAUUUCCUUGCAAGAUUUACAAUUUUACAUGCACAAAUUGUAGUUUACAGUUAUCAUUAUUUAUUGGAUCCAAAAAUUGCUGAAACUGUAUCUAAAGAACUAAGCAAGAAUUCAGUAGUUGUUUUUGAUGAGGCUCAUAACAUUGAUAAUGUUUGCAUUGAUUCUAUGAGUGUGAAAAUAAAUAGGAAAUUAAUGGAAAAAAGUUCGACUAAUAUACAACUCUUAGAGAAAACUGUAGCCGAAAUGAGAGAAGUUGAUGUAAAUAAAUUGAAGGAAGAAUACAAUAGAUUGGUCGAGGGAUUGAAAGAUGCUCAAUUGCAGAGAGAAACCGACGUCAUUUUAGCCAAUCCUAUUUUACCAAAUGAAGUACUCGAAGAAGUCGUUCCGGGCAACAUAAGAAAUGCUGAGCAUUUCGUCAGCUUCCUGAAACGAUUCGUUGAGUACUUGAAAACUCGUUUACGUGUCCAACACGUCGUGCAAGAAUCACCCGCGGCAUUUUUGAGGGACAUUCAAGCAAAAGUCGCUAUUGAACGAAAGCCAUUGCGAUUUUGCGCCCAAAGAUUAGCAUCUCUUUUACGCACAAUGGAAAUAACAGAUCUAACAGAUUUUUCUCCAAUAAUUCUGGUGACUCAUCUUGCAACAUUAGUCUCCACGUACACGCACGGUUUCACGAUUAUAGUGGAACCGUUCGAUGACAAAACGCCGACAGUUUUGAAUCCAAUUUUGCAUUUUAGUUGUUUAGAUUCUUCUAUCGCUGUCAAACCUAUAUUUGAUAGAUUUCAAUCUGUGAUAAUCACUUCCGGAACGCUCUCCCCGUUGGAUAUGUAUCCAAAAAUUUUAAACUUUCAUCCAGUUAUAAUGUCAUCGUUUACAAUGACAUUGGCUAGACCAUGCCUUUUACCUAUGAUUGUCGGCAAAGGUAAUGAUCAAGUGACUAUUUCGUCCAAAUAUGAGACACGAGAAGACGUGGCUGUUAUAAGAAAUUACGGUCAAUUGUUGGUCGAAUUUGCUGCAACAGUACCUGAUGGCUUAGUAUGCUUUUUUACAUCGUAUUUAUAUAUGGAAUCUGUGGUAGCUGCUUGGUACGAUCAAGGAGUUGUGGAUCAACUUCAAAGGCAUAAAUUACUUUUUAUCGAAACUCAGGAUUCAGCAGAGACCAGUUUAGCUCUGAUAAAUUACAUAAAGGCUUGUGAAAACGGUAGGGGAGCCGUUUUGCUUUCUGUAGCUCGUGGAAAGGUGUCCGAAGGCGUCGACUUCGAUCAUCACUUGGGUAGGGCUGUACUGAUGUUUGGUAUACCUUAUGUGUACACGCAAUCGCGAAUCUUAAAGGCACGUUUAGAAUACCUCAGAGAUCAAUUUCAAAUUCGAGAGAACGAUUUCUUAACUUUUGACGCUAUGAGACAUGCCGCUCAGUGCGUAGGGCGUGCGAUUAGAGGUAAAACCGAUUAUGGUAUAAUGGUGUUUGCAGAUAAGAGAUUUUCGAGAAUAGAUAAACGAAGUAAAUUACCGAAAUGGAUACAGGAACAUUUAAAUGACAAUUUAUGCAACUUAUCUACCGAAGAAGCUAUACAGAUCAGUAAAAGAUGGUUACGACAAAUGGCACAGCCAUUUACACGUGAAAAUCAGCUUGGAUUGUCAUUACUGACAAGAGAACAACUUGAGAAAGAAGAGGCUGCCAAAAUUGAACAAAAAGCACAGCAAAAAUGAUAGUAUGACACUAGGCCGAGUAAUUCAGUUUACUUAGGCAAAAUAAUCUGCACUAUUUACAAAAAAUAUAUCUCAUGCUGUUUGCUUGUACAAAUGCCUAAUUAUAAUUUGUACUUUUGACCACAAUUGUAUUAUUGCGGUUGACAGUAGUGUAACCUAAAAUCCAGAAACGCGCAUUGAAAAUGAGGAGAAAGUAAAAUCACAAUCUCGCGUAUUAGGUUGCGGAAAAAACAGUAACAAUCAAAAUCGUGGAAAAUUGUAAAUGAUAAUAAUGUUGAAAGGAAAUAUCAUAUACGACGAUUUGCUGUCUCUAUUUCGCGUUCUGAAAACUGCUUGCGGUAGAAGACAGAUGUUUUAGAAGUGUUUACCGUUAAUCGAUAUUAUCGAAUAUUC
This 2923-nucleotide unclassified non-coding RNA is filed under the name Camponotus floridanus (Florida carpenter ant). RNAcentral describes it as "general transcription and DNA repair factor IIH helicase subunit XPD, transcript variant X2". Lineage: Eukaryota; Metazoa; Arthropoda; Insecta; Hymenoptera; Formicidae. The record is from RNAcentral.